Long non-coding RNA from Tachysurus vachellii, 749 nucleotides. RefSeq lists it as uncharacterized. The transcript is spliced from 3 exons. The record is from RefSeq and is a predicted model, not a curated record. Lineage: Eukaryota; Metazoa; Chordata; Actinopteri; Siluriformes; Bagridae.
CUGUGUAUGUGUAUGUGUCUGUGUGUGUGUUUUAGAAACAUGUGGUGGUUUGUGGUUGGCUGAAGCAAAGCUGAGACGGUCGACACACUCAGCAGUGACGCAACAUGAAAAAGUGACCCGAACCAACCAGCGACAGAAUAUCAACCCCAAAAUUCUUUGUAAAUUUUAAACCUUUUUAAAAAUAAGGAAUUAAACAGUCCAUAGCGUGCCGUUAUGGUGUUGAAGGAAAGGUCAGAUUUUCCACCCUGUCAGGUGAAACCGAUCAUGGAACAACAACAACAACAACACAAUCACAAACAAGACGUAAACAAGAAUAUUACUACAUGAGAUAGUACGGCUCGGUGAGAUCAGACACACGGAGCAGUACUUCACACAGGACAGUGAUGAAUAUGGAGGAUGACACUGAAACUAAAGACAUCAGCAGGAUUUUUCCAGAAGCUGCGGUUUAAAAACAUUUUGAUCCACCAGAAUAUAUUUCUGCACAUAUGCUGAUUCCAUUUGUAGCCCAACUUUUAUGCGAAUGGAAUAAAUUUCCAUUGUACAAGCAGAGGAACCAGCAUGUAGCACAAUAUACUGGCGUUUCUCGGCCGACUCUGUAGAUCUGUAGUGGUGUUUUUUCAUGUUUAUAUUCAUAAAUAGUUCAUUUCUAGACUUUGUCUGGUGAACCAAGAAGAAUCAACUGAUAAUGAGGUCAAUUUUUUUCAUUGUUUAAAACGAAUUAUAUGAAAACAUGAUAGAAAAACUUUAAA